This 403-nucleotide unclassified non-coding RNA is filed under the name soil metagenome. RNAcentral's name for it is "partial contains 5.8S ribosomal RNA, internal transcribed spacer 2, and large subunit ribosomal RNA". The stretch from base 1 to 121 matches the Rfam family "5.8S ribosomal RNA", at positions 35 to 154 of the family's 154-position model. The record is from RNAcentral.
GAUGAAGAACGUAGCGAAAUGCGAUAAGUAGUGUGAAUUGCAGAAUUCAGUGAAUCAUCGAAUCUUUGAACGCACCUUGCGCCCUUUGGCUAUUCCGAAGGGCAUGCCUGUUUGAGUAUCGUGAACACCUCAACUCUCAUGGUUUGCCAUGAUGAGCUUGGACUUUGGGGGUUUUGCUGGCCUUUGGUCGGCUCCUCUCAAACGGAUCAGCUUUCCAGUGUUUGGUGGCGUCACGGGUGUGAUAACUAUCUACGCUUGUGGUUUUUCCACCAGGUAACCUUCAGCAGUGGAGGUUCGCUGGAGCUCAUAGAUGUCUCUCCUCAGUGAGGACAGCCCUUUGAAUGUUUGAUCUCAAAUCAGGUAGGACUACCCGCUGAACUUAAGCAUAUCAAUAAGCGGAGGA